AUCGUUUAUUUGAUAGUACCUUACUACUUGGAUAACCGUGGUAAUUCUAGAGCUAAUACAUGCUAAAAACCCCGACUUCGGGAGGGGUGUAUUUAUUAGAUAAAAAACCAAUGCCCUUCGGGGCUCCUUGGUGAAUCAUGAUAACUUAACGAAUCGCAUGGCCUUGCGCCGGCGAUGGUUCAUUCAAAUUUCUGCCCUAUCAACUUUCGAUGGUAGGAUAGUGGCCUACCAUGGUAUCAACGGGUAACGGGGAAUUAGGGUUCUAUUCCGGAGAGGGAGCCUGAGAAACGGCUACCACAUCCAAGGAAGGCAGCAGGCGCGCAAAUUACCCAAUCCCGACACGGGGAGGUAGUGACAAUAAAUACUGAUACAGGGCUCUUUUGGGUCUUGUAAUUGGAAUGAGUACAAUUUAAAUACCUUAACGAGGAACAAUUGGAGGGCAAGUCUGGUGCCAGCAGCCGCGGUAAUUCCAGCUCCAAUAGCGUAUAUUAAAGUUGUUGCAGUUAAAAAGCUCGUAGUUGAACCUUGGGCCUGGCUGGCCGGUCCGCCUCACCGCGUGUACUGGUCCGGCCGGGCCUUUCCUUCUGGGGAUCCCCAUGCCCUUCACUGGGUGUGGCGGGGAACCAGGACUUUUACUUUGAAAAAAUUAGAGUGUUCAAAGCAGGCCUUUGCUCGAAUACAUUAGCAUGGAAUAAUAGAAUAGGACGUGCGGUCCUAUUUUGUUGGUUUCUAGGACCGCCGUAAUGAUUAAUAGGGAUAGUCGGGGGCAUCAGUAUUCAAUUGUCAGAGGUGAAAUUCUUGGAUUUAUUGAAGACUAACUACUGCGAAAGCAUUUGCCAAGGAUGUUUUCAUUAAUCAGUGAACGAAAGUUAGGGGAUCGAAGACGAUCAGAUACCGUCGUAGUCUUAACCGUAAACUAUGCCGACUAGGGAUCGGGCGAAGUUAUAUUUUGACUCGCUCGGCACCUUACGAGAAAUCAAAGUCU
This 985-nucleotide ribosomal RNA is filed under the name Kellermania macrospora. RNAcentral's name for it is "SSU rRNA". It matches the Rfam family "Eukaryotic small subunit ribosomal RNA", at positions 112 to 1106 of the family's 1831-position model. Lineage: Eukaryota; Fungi; Ascomycota; Dothideomycetes; Botryosphaeriales; Planistromellaceae. The record is from RNAcentral.